GAAAGUGUAGCUCAGUGAUAAGAGUGUGUGCUUAGCAUGCACAAGGUCCUGGGUUCAACUCCCAGUACUGCCA
Molecule: transfer RNA, 73 nt
Filed under: Camelus ferus (Wild Bactrian camel)
Lineage: Eukaryota; Metazoa; Chordata; Mammalia; Artiodactyla; Camelidae
Rfam family: tRNA
About the family: Transfer RNA (tRNA) molecules are approximately 80 nucleotides in length. Their secondary structure includes four short double-helical elements and three loops (D, anti-codon, and T loops).
Source: Rfam by way of RNAcentral